UAUAGUUCAAUUUCUUAAAAAAAAAAUUGAAAAUUUUUUAUACAUAGAAAUACAU
This 55-nucleotide transfer RNA is filed under the name Agamermis sp. BH-2006. RNAcentral describes it as "tRNA-Phe". Lineage: Eukaryota; Metazoa; Nematoda; Enoplea; Mermithida; Mermithidae. The record is from RNAcentral.